AACGAACGCUGGCGGCAGGCUUAACACAUGCAAGUCGAACGGAUCCUUCGGGAUUAGUGGCAGACGGGUGAGUAACGCGUGGGAACGUACCCUUUGCUACGGAAUAACUCAGGGAAACUUGAGCUAAUACCGUAUGUGCUCUACGGGGGUAAGAUGUAUCGGCAAAGGAUCGGCCCGCGUUGGAUUAGCUAGUUGGUGGGGUAAUGGCCUACCAAGGCGACGAUCCAUAGCUGGUCUGAGAGGAUGAUCAGCCACACUGGGACUGAGACACGGCCCAGACUCGUACGGGAGGCAGCAGUGGGGAAUAUUGGACGAUGGGCGCAAGCCUGAUCCAGCCAUGCCGCGUGAGUGAUGAAGGUCUUAGGAUUGUAAAGCUCUUUCACCGGUGAAGAUAAUGACGGUAGCCGGAGAAGAAGCCCCGGCUAACUUCGUG
RNAcentral lists this ribosomal RNA (433 nucleotides) under uncultured bacterium. Its description in RNAcentral is "partial 16S ribosomal RNA". It matches the Rfam family "Bacterial small subunit ribosomal RNA", at positions 29 to 507 of the family's 1533-position model. The record is from RNAcentral.